This is a small nuclear RNA of Nerophis ophidion (straightnose pipefish), 142 nucleotides long. RefSeq annotates it as U4 spliceosomal RNA. The transcript has a single exon. Lineage: Eukaryota; Metazoa; Chordata; Actinopteri; Syngnathiformes; Syngnathidae. The record is from RefSeq and is a predicted model, not a curated record.
AUCUUUGUUCAGCGGUAGUAUCAUAGUCCAUGAGGUUUAUCUGAAGCGUGAUUAUUGCUAAUUGAAGCUUUUGACCAAUACCCUGCCUUAUUGACUUGAAACUUAAUCAGGUAUCACACUUUUUUAUAGCUUCCUUUAGGGU